AGGGGUCGGCGCGCGACCGGGUCAUGCAGGUGCAGACUGGCCGGUCGCUUCCCGCCCUCCAGCCACCCGCAGCUCCCCGGCAGGCGAAGGGCGGCCGCGCGGGUGUGGGCCGAGAGAGGGAGGCGGCUCGGCUGGAGCGCGCCGUCCGCCCGACCCCCGCCGCCUCUCGGGCGCCUGCGCUCACGCUGCGGGGCCCAGCGCAUUGUGAGCCGGGUCGAGCUCCACGCUGGCAGCGUCUGAGAGCUGUCCUGGGCCGGAGGUGGCGCGAACCCUGUGCGGCCUAGAGUGGGCCUGGGGAAGCCAGCUGCCAUGUUCUGAGUACUCUCUGGAAGGGCCUGCAUGGCAAGGAACUGAUGUUUCCAGCCAGCAGCCAGCAAGAACUGCAAGCCUUGUGAAUGAGCUUGGAAGCAGAUCCUCCCCUCACUCAAGCCAUGAUAUGACAACAGCCUGAGACCCAGAGUUUUAUGGAUACUUCAAAAAUCAAGAAAGAAUAAGAAGAUAGUAAAGAAUGUUCCUCUCAGCCACCCUGCAUCCAUCCAUUUCCCACCCCAACCUGCAAAAGGUAACCACUGGAUGGGCCCGGUGGCUCACACCUGUAAUCCCAGCAUCUUGGGAGGCCAAGGUGAGCAGAUCACUUGAGCCCAGGAGUUCAAGACCAGCCUAGGUAACAUGGGGAAACCCCAUCUCUACAAAAACACCAAAAUUAGCUGGACGUGGUGGCGCAUGCCUGUAGUCUCAGCUACUCGGGAGGCCGUGGUGGGCGGAUCUGUUACUAGUCUCUUAUGUAUCCUUCCAGGGAUUUUUGUAAACCUAUAGUCAAGCAAAUAUGAUUUUACGUUCUUCCUUUCCCCCUUUUAUUUCCAUUCUUUCUUGGGGACAGGGGUCCUUCUUAGGAUAAAGUUAGGAAGCCCCAGGGGAACUCAUUCAGACCUAAGGAGUCAGUCCUAGUUGCCGUUGUCUAUUAGUAAGCCCUUUUCCUCUGCAAUACCUUACAGUCUAAGGGCCCCAAACAAAAAGCCUUCCAGUGGGGCAAGGCCUGAUUGCCUUAGGAGGCCCCACAAUGGCCGAGGCCUCCAUCUAUCCCUGGACCUACUGAAGUAACUGAGGCACCCAUGCUGGCCUGCACCAGACAGUGUGUGUGAGACCCUUGAACACAGUGGAAAUGCAGGCAUCACUGAGGCACCCAGCCUCAGGCUGAGGACAGAGUGCCUGUGCUGUAAUUAGAUGUGACUCCUCCACAGCCAAGAGGGCCUACACUCUCAGUGACGAUUCUUCCAUGACAUUCAGGCACUUUCCCCAGGUACAGCCAUGGCAGAAGAUGGCUGGGCACAAGGGACCAGCUGCACGCUGCUCCUGGAGUCAGCUCUCCAGGACAGGCCUCAACCUUGGGCCUCUUCAGAAGCACUGCUCCUAUUUCUUGCCAGCCGAUCUCAGCCCAAGCCACCCAAGUCUGCACCCCCCUGAGUACAGUGGAGAUAUUACAUUAACUUUGAAAUAAAAGGAGAGACUCUAGGUCUCACUGCUCCCUUCCAGAAGCUUCUUUUGCCUCUUGCAAACAUGGGUGGCUUUGGGAGGAGUGCCAGCACACUUCAUAUACCAGAAGCACCUCAGCCCUGAGGUCUUGGGGACAUAGAUAGGUUCUUCAUCUCACGUGAUGGGGACUGAGCUCUUUUUGGUGGGUAAAGUGGAUUGAAAUAAAGGAGGAGGGCUGACAGGAAUUUGAGACUAGCCUGGGCAACAAAGCAAGACCGCAUCUCUACAAAAAAUAAAAUAAGGUUGGGUGUGGUGGCUCAUGCCUGUAAUCCCACCACUUUGGGAGGCCAAGGCAGGAGGAUUGCUUGAGCCCAGGAGUUCAAGACUAGCCUGAGCAACAUGGCAAUACCCCAUCUCUACAAAAAAUACAAAAAUUAGCCGGGCAUGGUGGCGCGUGCCUGUAGUCUUAGCUACUCAGGAGACUGAGGCAGGAGGAUCACCUGGACCUGGGAGGUCCAGGUUGCAGUGAGUAAAAGAAAAGAAAACUGAGACCCAUGGAGGUUAAGUAACUUACUUUUAAUCACUGUUACUUAUUUUUUUCUCUUUUUUUGAGAUGGAGUCUCACUCUGUCGCCAGGCUGGAAUGCAGUGGCGCGAUCUCUGCUCACUGCAACCUCAGCCUCCUGGGUUCCAGCGAUUCUCCUGCCUUAGCUUCCCAAGUAGCUGGGACUACAGGCGUGCACCACCAAACCCAGCUAUUUUUUGUAUUCUUAGUAGAGACGGGGUUUCACCAUGUUGGCCAGCAUGGUCUCAAUCUCUUGACCUCGUGAUCUGCCCGCCUUGGCCUCCCAAAGUGCUGGGAUUACAGGCAUGAGCCACUGUGCCCAGCCCAAUCACUGUUACUUUUAAGGAAAUCCAUUUGACUACUAAGGCAUAAUGUCACAGUGGCUUAGACAAAAUAGGAGUUUCUCUCUCAUGUUAGUCUCAUCAUGAGCAGUCCAGGGCUGAUAAGACAGCUGAGUCUUGUUGGGGACCCAGGUUUCUUCUUUCUUGUUGCUCUGCCUUCUCUAGGGAAUACCCUAUUCCACCUUGUCAAAGAUGGAGCAAUGCCACCUCUGCAUUCCAAUGGAAGAAAUGGGAGGAAGUGGAAGACACAACCUUCCCUUUUAAGGGCAUAACCUGGAAGUUGGGCUCAUAUUUCAAUGGCCAGAAUGUGGUCCAAUGGCCAUACCCAGUUGCAAAAGAAUCUGGGAAAUGUAGUCUGACUGGAAGGUGACUCAUACAGCUAAAAUUCAGGGAAGAAGGCGAGAAUGGAUAAUGGAAAACAAAUAGGAAUCUCUGUCACAGUCAGAAGUCGAACUGGGAUUCAAACCCAACAGUUUGACUUCAAAGCCAGAACUCUUAACCAUAAUCUUCAUUAUGCUGUUGUUUUAGAAGAAUUAAAUGAGGUCCACAGUUGGUAAGGUCUUUCUCUACAGUUUGAGACUUCAUUAACACAUGUAUGCACAUACAUUUUUGCUAAAUGGAUAGAUUAUAGCUGCUCUUGCCAUAAUAUUAUAACGCUUACUGUGAAAGUUGUUCAACAUUGAUGGGGAAUCAAGUAAUGUUUCCUUUUUUUUUCUUUUUUUGUUUUUUUGCCUUGAGACAGGUUUUUACUCUAUCACCUAGGCUGGAGUGCAGUGGUGCAAUCUUGGCUCAUUGCAGCCUUGACCUGCUGGGCUCAAGGGAUCCUCCCACCCCAGCCUCCCAAGUAGUUGGGACUACAGGUGUACGCCACUUGUAGUCAAAAAAUAAAAAUCAAUUUUUAAAAACUGAUUUGUAGAGGCAGGGUCUCUCACUAUGUUGCCCAGGCUGGUCUCAAACUCCUGGGCUCAGGUGAUCCUCCUGCUUCCCUUCCCAAAAUGCUAAGAAUACAGACAUAAGCCACUGCCUUUUAUCCUCUUCUCAUAGACUUUCCAUUUUUAGUAUUUUUUUGUGAGUCUUUCUUCUUUUUCUUCUCUUUAUUCUCCUCUCCCUCCUUUUCAUGCCUCAUACUUUAUGAUGCUUGGUAUAUGAGGCCAUCAUCAGUUUUAUAAUUUUUUUCUGCAUCGGAUUGUAGGAUUGGGCUUGGAAAUAACUGCCCCACCAAUGAACUUUCUAACCUUUCACAAGCAAGUGGGGCAAACCAGGGUAACUUCUUUUUUUUUUUUUUUUUUUUUUUUUUGACACAGUCUCGCCUUGUUGCCCAGGCUGGAGUGCAGUGGUGUGACCUCGGCUCACUGCAACCCCUGCCUCCAGGGUUCAAGCAACUCUCCUGCCUUAGCCUCCUGAGUAGCUGGGAUUACAGGAGUGCGCUACCAUGCCUGGCUAAUUUUUGUAUUUUUAGUAAGACAUGGUCUCUCCAUGUUGGCCAGGCUGGUCCUGAACUCCUGACCUCGUGAUCUACCUCUUUGGCCUCCCAAAGUGCUGGGAUUACAGGUGUGAGCCACUGUGCCCGGCCAGAUAACCUUUAAGAAUUCUUAGAAGCCCAGAAAUAAAGCCAAACCUAUAUGGUCAACUAAUUUUUGGCAAGAGUAACAAGAAGACACCUGGGAAAAGAACAGUAUCUUCAAUAAAUGGUACUGAGAAAACUUGAUUUCCACAGGUAAAAGAAUAAAAUUAGACUCUUACACCACAUGCAAAAAUCAACUCAAAAUGCAUGCAAGACCUAAGCAUAAGACUGGAAACAAUAAAACUCCUAGAAAAAAACACAGGAGAAAAGCUCCUUGACAUUGGCCUUGGCAAUGAUUAUUUUGCAUAUCAUAGCAAAAGCUGAGGCUACAAAAGUAAAAAUAAGUGAGACUGCAUCAAACUAAAAAGCUUCUGCACAGCAAAGGAAACAAUCACCACAAUGAAAAGGCAACCUACAGAUUGGGAAAAAAAUAUUUGCAAACCAUAUAUCUGGUAAGUUGUUAGUAUCCAAAGCUUACAAAGAACUCAUACAACUCAAUAACAAGAAAACAUAUAACCCAAUUUUUAAAAUGGACAAAGGACCUGAAUAGAUAUUUCUUCAAAGAAGACAUAAAAAUGGCCAACAGGUAUAUAAAAAUAAAACAUCAAAACCACUAUGAAAUGUCACCUCACAUCCAUGGAUAGCUAUUAUCAAAAAGACAAAAGAUAACUGUUGGCCAGAGUGUAGAGACAAGGGAACCCUUAUGUGCUGUUGGUGGGAGUGUAGUUUGGUGCAGCCAUUAUGGAGAACAAUAUGGAGGUUCCCAAAGAAAUUAAAAAUAGAACCACCGUAGGAUCCAGCAAUCUCAGUUUAUACCCAAAGGAAAUGAAAUCACCACCUUGUAGGCUGGGUGGAGUGGCUCACGCCUGUAAUCCCAGCACUUUGGGAGGCCGAGGCAGACAGAUCACCUGAGGUUGGGAGUUAGAGAACACCCUAACCAACAUGGAGAAACCCCGUCUCUACUAAAAAUACAAAAUUAGCCGGGCAUGGUGGGUAAUCCCAGCUACUCUGGAGGCUGAGGCAGGAGAAUCGCUUGAACCCGGGAGGCGGGCCGAGAUGGUGCCAUUGCACUCUAGCCUGGGCAACAAGAGUGAAACUCCAUCUCAAAAAAAAAAAACAAAAAAAAAACAAAAACACCUUGUAAAGAUAUCUGAACUCCUAUGUUCUUUGUGACAUUAUUCACAAUAGCCAAGAUAUGGAAGCUACCUAGGUGCCCAUCAGUGGAUGAAUGGAUAAAGAAACUGUGGUGCAUCUAUACAAUAAUAUGUUAUUCAGCCUCAAAAAAGGAGGAGAUUCUGCCAUUUGCUACAAAAUGGAUGAAUCUGGGGGACAUUAUGCUAAGUGAAACUAGCCAUACACAGAAAGAAAAAUAUUAUAGGAUCUCACUUAUAUGUGGACUCUAAAGAAAAAAGUCAAAUUACAGUGAAAGAGAGUAAAACAGUGGUUACCAGAGGCAGGUAGAGGGGAGAACAGGGGAGAUGUAGGUCAAAGAAUGCAAGUAGCAAACAUGUAGGAUGAACAAGUCUGGAAAUCUAAUGUGCAACAUGAGUUAAUAAUAGUGUAUGGCAUUUGGGAUUUUUGCUAAAUGAAUAGAUUAUAGCUGCUCUUGCCACAAAAAGCGGGGGGUAACUGUGUGAUGAUGGAUAUGUUAAUUUGCCUCACUAUAGUAACCAUUUUACUGUUUAUAUGUAUCUCAUAACAUCAUGCUGUAUACACACAAAAUAACAUUUUUUAAAAAAAUACUUAGAAAAUAUGAGAAUAUUUAAAAUUAGGAUACAUCAAACAUCAUGAUUUUGCCACAAUUUGAUGAUUUUCAUUAAAAGAAAAAUUCAUGUAAUUUGUAACCAUUUUACUGUUUAUAUGUAUCUCAUAACAUCAUGCUGUAUACUUUAAAUACACAAAAUAACAUUUUUUAAAAAAAUACUUAGAAAAUAUGAGAAUAUUUAAAAUUAGGAUACAUCAAACAUCAUGGUUUUGCCACAAUUUGAUGAUUUUCAUUAAAAGAAAAAUUCAUGUAAUUUGUUCCCACGUGUUGUAUUUUAGGGUUGACAUAAUAGAACGCUAUCAAAAUUAGGAAGUUUCAUAAUGAUCCAUGUAUGUACAACUGCACUCGGGUACCCCUGUCUUCUCUCACCUCUGUAAGAGCAAUUUUGUUUGCAUCUCUCAAGACUCUGGAGACAUGUUUUACAAAAGCAGUUUGAAGUGAGUAUUCAUUCAUUUGGGUUUUCCUGGUGUGGCCCUUUCAGCUCUGCAGAAUGCCACAGCAAUGAGGAAACUGUUUGUUUCCAAGCAGGAGAUGCCAAUGUGAUGACAGACUUUUUGAAAGCAUGUAGCUGGUGGCUGUUAAAUCUGCAUUUCCUGCCAUGCAUAAUGGUCCAUAAGCUGCUGGAUGUGAGCAGAGAGUUGGUUAAUAAUCAAGCCUUCUUUUUCAUAGUGUUUAACAAUGCAAAGUGCUUUUAAAUAAUUAUUUUAGCUAAUCUUAACAAUAACCCUAUGAGAUCGGUAGGGAUAUCCUGGCAACAUAAGAACAUAUUAAACGUCAUUCUCAUAAGACAAAGGUCUAUUUUCCCCAGUUUAGAACCUAGGUACUCUCUGAUAAGUAGAAUGCACACUUAAAUUAUAUUAUUUUCAACAAAUGUCCAUUGAGCCCCACCUAUGGGCCAGUGGGCACUGCAAGAUGUUGGAGAGCUGCAGAUGAACAGAUGAACAAGACACAGCUGCUUUUCUCAACUCCGUCUCUCAGGAGAGAGACAUGAACACCACUAUCAUCAGAUGCUAAAAGUGCCAUAAUCAAUGUCUUCUGGGAAAAUGAGGGAGAGGAGAGAAGGUUUCAGAGAGCUGCAGAGGAUGUUUGUGCUGAUAGGAUUCUGUCUGGCAGUGAAGUGAAGGGAGGACAUUCCAGGGAAUGGGUGCAGCAUAUAAGGGGGCAGAGGCAUGGACUACAUGAUUUCUUCAGAGAAUGAGAGGGGAAGGAAGGAUGCAUUCGAUUAGCAGAUGGUGGAGAGCCUUGUUUGCUGUGCCAAAAGGCUUGAAUUAGUCCCACAAACCACGGAGGCAGUAAAGAGCAGAUCUAGUUAGGUGUGAAUCCAAAUUCCAAGAACUUGCUGACUUGGGGGAGUUGCUUAAUCAUCAUCUGUAAAAUAGGGGUUAUACUCAACCUUCUGGGUUAGUUUUGAUAAGCACUUUAUAAGCUGGUGUAUAUAAAGUGCUUGGCACAGUGCCUAGCACACAGUAAGUGUUGACUAUUAACUACUAUCCAGUAAUAUUUCCUAAUCUUUUUUGAAUCAGGUUCCUUUGAGAAUGAAUGAGUCCUCUCCUCAUAUACAGUAUUUUGUAUAUUAUUUAAGGGGAUUCACAUUAUCUCCUGAAACUGGAGUCCAAGAUAAGAGUCCUGCUGUGUCUUCUCAAAAUUUUUUUAACUUUAUUUUUUUUUAGAGCAGAUUUAGGUUCACAGCAAAAUUAAGAAGAUACAGAGAUUUACCUUAUAUUCCCCACCCCUAUUCAUGUAUAACUUCCCUGAUGAUAUCAACAUCCCUUACCAGAGUGGUACACUUGUUACAACUGAUGAACCCACAUUGAUGCAUCAUAAUAACCCCAAGUCCAUGGUUUACCUUAGGGUUUGUCCUUGGUGUUAUAUAUUCUAUGGGUUUAGACAAAUCCAUAAUGACACAUACCCAUCAUUAUAGUAUCAUACAGAGUAGUUUCACUGUCCUAAAACUCUGCGCUCUCAUCUGAAGUUUUCUUUCUUUCUUUCUUUCUUUCUUUCUCGCUUUCUUUCUUUCUCUCUCUCUCUCUCUUUCUAUCUUUCUUCCUCUCUUUUUUAGAGUCUCACUCUGUUGCCCAGGCUAGAGUGCAGUGGCGUGAUCUUGGCUCACUGUAACCUCCGUCUCCCAGGUUCAAGCGAUUCUCCUGCCUCAGCCUCCUGAGUAGCUGGGAUUACAGGAACCCACCAUCAUACCCAGCUAAUUUUUGUAUUUUUAGUAGAGACGGGAUUUCGCCACGUUGGCCAGGCUGGUCUUGAACUCCUGACCUCAGGUGAUCUGCCCACCUCGGCCUCCCAAAGUUCUGGGAUUACAGGUGUGAGCCACCACGCCUGACCUG
RNAcentral lists this long non-coding RNA (8043 nucleotides) under Homo sapiens (human). Its description in RNAcentral is "HSALNT0348863". Lineage: Eukaryota; Metazoa; Chordata; Mammalia; Primates; Hominidae. The record is from RNAcentral.